UCCGAGUUCACCCCGGCAGUCUCCUAUGAGUCCCCGGCAUAAUCCGCUGGCAACAUAGGACAAGGGUUGCGCUCGUUGCGGGACUUAACCCAACAUCUCACGACACGAGCUGACGACAACCAUGCACCACCUGUGCACGAUUCCCGAAGGACCCCACAUCUCUGUGGGAUUACCGUGCAUGUCAAACCCAGGUAAGGUUCUUCGCGUUGCAUCGAAUUAAGCCGCAUGCUCCGCCGCUUGUGCGGGCCCCCGUCAAUUCCUUUGAGUUUUAGCCUUGCGGCCGUACUCCCCAGGCGGGGCGCUUAAAGCGUUAGCUACGGCACAGAAGCCAUGACAGCUCCCACACCUAGCGCCCACCGUUUACGGCAUGGACUAC
Molecule: unclassified non-coding RNA, 376 nt
Filed under: uncultured Actinomycetes bacterium
Lineage: Bacteria; Bacillati; Actinomycetota; Actinomycetes
Description: uncultured actinobacterium contains 16S-23S intergenic spacer region
Source: RNAcentral